AGAUGUGAGGCUGUCCUCCUAGCAAUAGGCAUGUCAUAAGGUGCUGCAUGGCUGUCGUCAGCUCGUGCCGUGAGGUGUUGGGUUAAGUCCCGCAACGAGCGCAACCCUCGCCUCCUGUUGCCAUCAGGUCAAGCUGGGCACUCUGGAGGUACUGCCGGCGAUAAGCCGGAGGAAGGUGGGGAUGACGUCAAGUCCUCAUGGCCUUUAUGCCCCGGGCUACACACGUGCUACAAUGGCUGGUACAAAGGGUUGCAAAACCGCGAGGUGGAGCUAAUCCCAAAAAACCAGUCCCAGUUCGGAUUGCAGUCUGCAACUCGACUGCAUGAAGUUGGAAUCGCUAGUAAUCGCGGAUCAGCACGCCGCGGUGAAUACGUUCCCGGGCCUUGUACACACCGCCCGUCACAUCACGAAAGCCGGCUGUACUAGAAGUCGCUGCUCUGACCCGUAAGGGAGGAAGGCGCCCACGGUAUGGUCGGUGAUUGGGGUGAAGUCGUAACAAGGUAGCCGU
RNAcentral lists this ribosomal RNA (508 nucleotides) under uncultured Acidobacteriota bacterium. RNAcentral describes it as "bacterial SSU rRNA". It matches the Rfam family "Bacterial small subunit ribosomal RNA", at positions 999 to 1503 of the family's 1533-position model. Lineage: Bacteria; Pseudomonadati; Acidobacteriota. The record is from RNAcentral.